CAAAUCGGGUUGCCCUGAAGCCCAACAGCUAGCCCCCCCAAACAAUUUCAAUAAUUCAACAUUCAUACCCCUUAAU
Molecule: transfer RNA, 76 nt
Filed under: Paralabrax maculatofasciatus (spotted sand bass)
Lineage: Eukaryota; Metazoa; Chordata; Actinopteri; Perciformes; Serranidae
Description: tRNA-Val
Source: RNAcentral